RNAcentral lists this ribosomal RNA (484 nucleotides) under uncultured bacterium. Its description in RNAcentral is "partial 16S ribosomal RNA". It matches the Rfam family "Bacterial small subunit ribosomal RNA", at positions 28 to 507 of the family's 1533-position model. The record is from RNAcentral.
AUUGAACGCUGGCGGCAUGCUUUACACAUGCAAGUCGAACGGCAGCGCGGGCUUCGGCCUGGCGGCGAGUGGCGAACGGGUGAGUAAUGCAUCGGAAAGUGCCCAGCAGUGGGGGAUAGCACGGCGAAAGCCGGAUUAAUACCGCAUACGACCUGAGGGUGAAAGCGGGGGACCGAAAGGCCGUGCGCGAUUGGAGCGGCCGAUGUCGGAUUAGCUAGUUGGUGGGGUAAAGGCUUACCAAGGCGACGAUCCGUAGCUGGUCUGAGAGGACGACCGGCCACACUGGGACUUGGACACGGCCCAGACUCCUACGGGAGGCAGCAGUGGGGAAUUUUGGACAAUGGGGGCAACCCUGAUCCAGCCAUGCCGCGUGCGGGAAGAAGGCCUUCGGGUUGUAAACCGCUUUUGUUCGGGAAGAAAUCCUCUGGGCUAAUACCCCGGGGGGAUGACGGUACCGGAAGAAUAAGCACCGGCUAACUACGUG